Small nucleolar RNA from Myripristis murdjan (pinecone soldierfish), 70 nucleotides. Its record names the gene SNORD58. It matches the Rfam family "Small nucleolar RNA SNORD58". From Rfam's summary of the family: snoRNA U58 is found in introns 1, 3 and 6 of the ribosomal protein RPL17 gene in humans. U58 is a member of the C/D class of snoRNA which contain C (UGAUGA) and D (CUGA) box motifs. Most of the members of the box C/D family function in directing site-specific 2'-O-methylation of substrate RNAs. The record is from Ensembl. Lineage: Eukaryota; Metazoa; Chordata; Actinopteri; Holocentriformes; Holocentridae.
UUGCAAUGAUGACCAUCUUAGGACACCUUUGGAUUUCAACAUGAAAACAAACCAAUUCAAUCUGAGCAAC